GGCAGGGUAGCUCAGCUGGUCAGAGCACAGGACUCAUAAGCCUGGGGUCGCGGGUUCAAAUCCCGCCCCUGCUACCA
RNAcentral lists this transfer RNA (77 nucleotides) under bacterium CG2_30_37_16. Its description in RNAcentral is "tRNA-Met". It matches the Rfam family "tRNA". From Rfam's summary of the family: Transfer RNA (tRNA) molecules are approximately 80 nucleotides in length. Their secondary structure includes four short double-helical elements and three loops (D, anti-codon, and T loops). Further hydrogen bonds mediate the characteristic L-shaped molecular structure. tRNAs have two regions of fundamental functional importance: the anti-codon, which is responsible for specific mRNA codon recognition, and the 3' end, to which the tRNAs corresponding amino acid is attached (by aminoacyl-tRNA synthetases). tRNAs cope with the degeneracy of the genetic code in two manners: having more than one tRNA (with a specific anti-codon) for a particular amino acid; and 'wobble' base-pairing, i.e. permitting non-standard base-pairing at the 3rd anti-codon position. RNAcentral also lists the same sequence under 3 other names. The record is from RNAcentral.